CAAUUGCAAACAUGUACUAAACAAAAAGAAAUUAUAGGUCUGACAUUUGCUUCUGCUUUCUUCACAGUCCCAGGUGGGCUAUCACAACUCUCAGCAUCUUCUCUCUGCAGAUGAUGUGUGGAGGAGUUCUUUGGAGGUGCAGUGGCCAUCUUCUGACCAUAGAGGGCAAGCUUGAAGAUUAAAACCAAUGUGCUCAGGAUGAAGAUUUGGGAAUGUGGAAAGAGUCCAGUCCUCAGGAAGUCAUGGAGCCAUGGAAGUGCUAAGUAGGAGAAUGGGAACUCCUGAAUCUGAACCUCCUCCUUUGCAGCAAAACAGUCCCCAGGUUUCCAAGUGACUGUAGAAGAUUAGCAGGCAGAGCCAACCUGCAAAUGUGCUACCCCCAGACUUCUUAUUAUGGUUGAUUGUGAGUGUAGUCCACUUUUAGUUGAUCACUUGCAGCUACAAACAACCUAACAGACAUAGUGGGCAUGUUUAAAUAAAUCUCUUUUGUGUUUCUGUUUGCUAUUUUUAAGCCCUUGAUGUAGUGGGGAAAAAAGGUCUAUUAAGUCCUGACCCAACAUUUCGCAUAAAAUUGAACUCACUUAUGCACUUGAAUAGAAUGAAAAUGAUGAUUCAGUUAGCACAAAGCCAUGAAUCAUGAAAACUAAAUUAUUAUGGUAGCUUAUUUUACAUAAAAUCAGCUUUUGAUAGGAUAUAAAUUGAAAAGCACACAAUAUAAGUAGUAGAGGUAGAGGCUUUAAAAUAUCUAUGUUGAUGAUAGGAAAUGAAAUUAAAAUAUUUUGCAAGGAUUAUUCUCAAAGCACAUAACUGAGAACUGACUGAGUGUUGGCAACAAAGGAAAAUUUAUCUCCUGUUACAUGAUGUGGGACAUAACAUUCUUAUUAAGUAGAAUUGGAAUUUUCUGAAUCUCCUUUGCAACAAAACAGCUCCCAAGUUGCAAAUUGAAUCACAAGAUUAGUAGGCAGACUGAUGAGGAUUUAAUUUUUAAAAUAUGCUGUAAUGUUUGAUG
Molecule: long non-coding RNA, 1009 nt
Filed under: Heterocephalus glaber (naked mole-rat)
Lineage: Eukaryota; Metazoa; Chordata; Mammalia; Rodentia; Bathyergidae
Description: lncRNA (ENSHGLG00000049777.1)
Source: RNAcentral